AGGAAAUGGAGUUGUCACUCUCAGAUGAGGAGUCUGACACAGAAACUGGGAGAAAGGUUUCGAAAAAAGGAAGAUCGUUCAAGAAAAGUUUUCGCAAGUAAAUGUUAGUAUAAACUAUUUUUCUUUUUAUGCCAUGCACCAUUGUGAAAGUUUGUGUUCCAUGUAUAUAGCAUCGCACAGCACUCGCACGAAGCUAACGCUAUGAUCUAUAAUUUAAAAAUUUUGUAAAGAUAAAUCAUUAGGAAAUUAGUUAUAUAUGAUAUAAAUAAUUAAAUUUAAUAAUUAUAUUAAUAUAUAAAGUGUAUACAGUAUCGAAGUAAUCUGUACUAAAAUAACAAAAUGCCAAGCGCUGUUGUUAUAUAACUUUCAGAAUCGUAAAAUUAAACUUUAAUGCAGAAUAGUACGAAUGAUUAAAUCUAAUGCAAUAUUAAAUAUUAAUAAUAUAACUCAUAUAUGAAUCUAAAUUUUGUUAACAG
Molecule: non-coding RNA, 476 nt
Organism: Paramuricea clavata
Lineage: Eukaryota; Metazoa; Cnidaria; Anthozoa; Malacalcyonacea; Plexauridae
Source: the annotation of a GenBank genome assembly